Canis lupus familiaris (dog) is the source of this 419-nucleotide long non-coding RNA. RefSeq lists it as uncharacterized. Lineage: Eukaryota; Metazoa; Chordata; Mammalia; Carnivora; Canidae. The transcript is spliced from 3 exons. The record is from RefSeq and is a predicted model, not a curated record.
AAUCAGCUCUGUGCAACCCUUUUGACCAAUUCUGAGAAGAUCAGAUCACCAUUCUGGAUGUUCAGAAAAGAGUCUCUGAGCCUUCAAGAUUUGUGUGCAGGAGCUUCAACUACUCAAGGUCAACUGUCCUCCAGAAGUGAUGUCAGACGAUCAACAGUAGCCUUGAAUGCUAUGUCACCAUGCCUACCUCAUCACCUCAUGUCACCUCAUCAUCUCACAUCACCACAAAGAAAGGUUUCACCAUCAAAUCAACAAACUAGAUGAUUCCUGAAGUCACUUUCAAUGGUAAUAUAUUCCAUCAUUCUAACAUCUACUUGGAUAUUGCCAAAAUAUGAGCACUCCUUUCAAAGUGUCCAAUUGAAUAAAAUUUAUAAGCAAGUACAUGUGUUCUAACACCAGAAUUUUAUGUUUUAUCUAAA